RNAcentral lists this ribosomal RNA (647 nucleotides) under uncultured bacterium. RNAcentral's name for it is "bacterial SSU rRNA". It matches the Rfam family "Bacterial small subunit ribosomal RNA", at positions 9 to 643 of the family's 1533-position model. The record is from RNAcentral.
GAGUUUGAUCCUGGCUCAGGACGAACGCUGGCGGCGUGCUUAACACAUGCAAGUGGAGCGACGAAGCUGACUUCGGUCAGUGGCAGAGCCGCGAACGGGUGAGUAACACGUGGGUAACGAGCCCCAAUGACUGGGAUAACCCGGGGAAACCCGGGCUAAUACCGGAUGUGGUCGCCUCACAUCAGUGAGACGACCAAAGGUAGCUUCGGCUUCCGCAUUGGGAUCGGCCCGCGGCGCAUUAGCUUGUUGGUGGGGUAAUGGCCUACCAAGGCGACGAUGCGUAGCUGGUCUGAGAGGACGAUCAGCCACACUGGGACUGAGACACGGCCCAGACUCCUACGGGAGGCAGCAGUGGGGAAUCUUGCGCAAUGCGCGAAAGCGUGACGCAGCAACGCCGCGUGUUGGAAGAAGGCCUUCCGCCUUGUAAACCCCUUUCAGGAGGGACGAAGUGCCGGCGGUGAAUAGCCGUUCGGCAUGACGGUACCUCCACAAGAAGCCCCGGCUAACUACGUGCCAGCAGCCGCGGUAAUACGUAGGGGGCAAGCGUUGUCCGGAAUCAUUGGGCGUAAAGAGCGCGUAGCGGUCCGGUAAGUCGGUUGUGAAACUGGGGGCUCAACCCUCAGAGGCCGACCGAUACUGCCGGACUA